GGUGCAGCGUCGUGCGUUCAACGAUGGGGGUAGAGCACUGAAUGGGCUAGGGGUCCUACAAGACUACCGACCCCAAUCAAACUCCGAAUACCAUCGUUCCAGAGCACGGCAGUGAGACCUCGGGGGAUGAGCUUCGGGGUCGAGAGGGAAACAGCCCAGACCGCCGGCUAAGGUCCCAAAAUCUGAACUAAGUGGUAAACGAUGUGAGAUUGCGAAGACAGCCAGGAGGUUGGCUUGGAAGCAGCCAUCCUUGAAAGAGUGCGUAACAGCUCACUGGUCGAGUGAUCUUGCGCGGACAAUGUAACGGGGCUCAAGUUCAGUACCGAAGCCGCGGAUGCGACUCUUUGAGUCGUGUGGUGGCGGAGCGUCGAGCGUGCAGCGAAGCGGCGGGACAACCCAGCCGUGGAGCGCGUUCGAGUGCGAAUGUUGACAUGAGUAGCGAAUGAGGGGUGAGAACCCCCUCCGCCGUAUGUCCAAGGGUUCCUGGGCGAGGCCAAUCCUCCCAGGGUGAGUCGGGAGCUAAGGCGAGGCCGAGAGGCGUAGUCGAUGCACAACUGGUUGAUAUUCCAGUACCACCAUGUUCGCGUCCGUUCCAAUACUCUGUUGCUAAGGGGCUGUGUUGACUUCGGUCAACGCGAACCGACCCACAUUGUUGCGGGAAGCUGUAGGGGGACGCAGGAAGGUAGAUGAACCCGGUGAAUGGUAGAACCGGGGUAAGCGUGUAGGAGGAGGACCAGGUAAAUCCGGGCCUCAUAAACUCUGAGACGUGAUACCGAGCCGCUUCAGGCGAAGUCAUUGAUCCUAUGCUGCCUAGAAAAGCCCAGCAGCGAGUUGACAUGGUGCCCGUACCCCAAACCAACACAGGUGGACAGGUAGAGCAUACCAAGGCGAGUGGGAUAACUAUGGUUAAGGAACUCGGCAAAUUGCCUCCGUAACUUCGGGAGAAGGAGGACCCCAGUAGCGUGAUGAGACUUGCUCUCUGAGCGUGAAGGGGUGGCACAAAAUUGAGGGAAGCGACUGUUUACCAAAAACACAGCAGCGUGCUAAGCCGUAAGGCGCUGUAUACGCUGUGACUCCUGCCCGGUGCUGGAAGGUUACGGGGAUGGGUUAGUCCUUCGGGACGAAGCUCUGAACCUAAGCCCCAGUAAACGGCGGCCGUAACUAUAACGGUCCUAAGGUAGCGAAAUUCCUUGUCGGGUAAGUUCCGACCUGCACGAAUGGAGUAACGACUUCCCUACUGUCUCAACCAUAGACCCAGCGAAAUUGAAGUACGAGUAAAGAUGCUCGUUAGCUGCAGAAGGACGGAAAGACCCCGUGGACCUUUACUAUAACUUGAUGUUGUGUUUUGUCU
This 1351-nucleotide ribosomal RNA is filed under the name metagenome. RNAcentral describes it as "bacterial LSU rRNA". It matches the Rfam family "Bacterial large subunit ribosomal RNA", at positions 873 to 2129 of the family's 2925-position model. The record is from RNAcentral.